GACGGAUCCUGCCUCAGCCUCUUGAGUAGCUGGGAUUACAGAUGUCCACUACCGUAUCGGCUAAUUUUUGUAUUUUUAGUAGAGACAAGGUUUUGCCAUGUUGGGCAGGCUGGUUUUGAACUCCCAACCUCAGGUGAUCUGCCCACUUCAGCCUCCCAAAUUGCUGGGAUUACAGGCGUGAGCCACCGUGCCCAGCCACAAUGUGGUGUUUAUUAUACAGUUGGAUUGACUUAAAUACAUUCAUGGCAUUUAAAAUGAAAUUUUAAUUAUUACGAUUCCUAAAAAACAAAUGAACUAAAACUCAAUUACUUCCUUCAGAACAAAAACGUUACACUCAAAUUUCUCCCAUCAGAUCUCAUUUGGUUCAUUAAAUCUCCCUGGUGAAGAGGAUGGAUUCCAGAAACCCAGUGCCAACAAUGAAAUAUCACCCUCAUACUUGGCCCACGAGAACAUCAUAUACCAUAGUAGAGAUUUCGCCCUCCUCUUGGCCCCCGGGGGAGACUACUGUUGGCUCCUAGCACUAUCAGCUGGCUAGGAAUGUGUAUGCAACACUUCUGAAGCCUUGGAAACAUAGUACAGAAUGUACCCAUUUUAGGAUGAUUCAACUUUAUGAUUUUUCAACUUUUUGAUGGUAUAAAAGCGAUACAUAAUCAGUACAAACCAUAUACAUACCACCAUUUUUCAGUACAGUACUCAUUACAUGUGUCAACACUUUAUUAUAAGAUAGGUUUUAUGUUAGAUGAUAACACCAGCAUCUUGCUCAAUAAAUUGAAGCCAGCUUUUUCAACAGAGAACAUUAUUAGAAUGAAACUAGAUGCAAGAACAGGAAAGUAAACACCUGUGUCAUGUUCAACAAGACUGAACUACGGAGCAAAGAAUCACACAGUGUUGCAAGAUCUUGAACUGACUAGAUGAUAGGAUUACAAAAACCACACAGCUAUUGCUGGAAAAUUAUGUCAUGCAGAGAACAGACUGGCACGAUUACAUAUGUGGGUUUGUCCUACACAAACCAGACCUUUAAGUGAAACAAGUCUAUCCAACCAUCUUCCCAUAAAACCUAGUUUCUAUGGAAAACAAUCAAUUAAGCUAAACCCCCACAUUUUAGAUGUAUAUUCAUUUAUAGAAGCCCAAAAGGACAGUGGGGUUACAAAUAAUUUUAUAUUUUAGAUGCUUUCAUAAUUUAAAAAGUUAACAUUACAAUUUGUGUUACUAAAAUGCAAAAACAGGAUUGGCAUGCUGCCUCAUGCCUGUAAUCUGAACAUUUUGGGAGGCUGAGGCAGGAGGACUUGAGCCCAGGAGUUCGAGCCCAGCCUAGGGAACACAGGGAAAACCCAUCUCUACGCAAGACGUAAAAACUGGCCAGCUGUGAUGGCAUGCCCCUGUAGUCUGAGCUACUUGGGAGGCUGAGGUGGGAAGAUCGCCUUGAGCCCAGGAAAUUGAGACUGGGCCAGGGAAGGGGGCAGUGGGCCAGGGAC
This 1475-nucleotide long non-coding RNA is filed under the name Homo sapiens (human). RNAcentral describes it as "HSALNT0227779". The record is from RNAcentral. Lineage: Eukaryota; Metazoa; Chordata; Mammalia; Primates; Hominidae.